RNAcentral lists this ribosomal RNA (465 nucleotides) under uncultured bacterium. Its description in RNAcentral is "partial 16S ribosomal RNA". It matches the Rfam family "Bacterial small subunit ribosomal RNA", at positions 338 to 795 of the family's 1533-position model. The record is from RNAcentral.
CCUACGGGUGGCUGCAGUGGGGAAUAUUGCACAAUGGGCGAAAGCCUGAUGCAGCGACGCCGCGUGAGGGAUGAAGGUCUUCGGAUUGUAAACCUCUGUCAGCAGGGAAGAACGGUCUCCGUGUUAAUCACCAGUCAAUUGACGGUACCUGCAAAGGAAGCACCGACUAACUACGUGCCAGGAGCCGCGGUAAUACGGAGGGGGCGAGCGUUAAUCGGAUUUACUGGGCGUAAAGAGCUCGUAGGCGGUAGGUCAAGUCAAGGGUGAAAUCCCCGCGCUCAACGUGGGAACUGCCUUUGAAACUGGCAAGCUGGAGUGUGGGAGAGGAUAGUGGAAUUCCAGGUGUAGGAGUGAAAUGCGUAGAUAUCUGGAGGAACAUCAGUGGCGAAGGCGACUAACUGGAACAUAACUGACGCUGAGGAGCGAAAGCGUGGGUAGCAAACAGGAUUAGAUACCCUUGUAGUC